GACUCGCUAUUCUGACUCAUGCUUAGCUCUGGCUUUAGCGCCCUCUAGUGGGACACUUCCUUUUUUGGGCUCUGAGUCACUGUUUAGAGCAGCACAUGGGGAAUCAUGCAAGCAUCAGUUAACAUCCAGUCUUUCUUGUCUUUGUUCAGACAUUAUCUUUUUACACCGCUUCUUGUAAAAACGCUUAAAGGCACCACGUGUCUCGGCCUCUUAUUGGAAGAGUGUUUACCUGUCUGCAUAGCUGUGUACGCAAACGCAUAGUGAAGGCGGAACACUCGCUUCAGGAACUCAUUUCAGAGAGCUAGCUGAUGGGUGGAACUGGACGUGACUAAAUUGGGGAGAAAAAUGACCAAACAAACAAAAUACUUGACGAGGCUGAUCAGAUGGACAGACUGACUGUUCUGUUCCCUGACGAAAGGAGCUGCUGUCACUCAACGCUCAGUAC
This is a long non-coding RNA of Pygocentrus nattereri (red-bellied piranha), 445 nucleotides long. RefSeq lists it as uncharacterized. Lineage: Eukaryota; Metazoa; Chordata; Actinopteri; Characiformes; Serrasalmidae. The record is from RefSeq and is a predicted model, not a curated record. The transcript is spliced from 3 exons.